Molecule: unclassified non-coding RNA, 378 nt
Filed under: plant metagenome
Description: partial contains 5.8S ribosomal RNA, internal transcribed spacer 2, and large subunit ribosomal RNA
Rfam family: 5.8S ribosomal RNA (bases 1-105)
Source: RNAcentral
GAAAUGCGAUAAGUAAUGUGAAUUGCAGAAUUCAGUGAAUCAUCGAAUCUUUGAACACACCUUGCGCUCCUUGGUAUUCCUUGGAGCAUGCCUGUUUGAGUAUCAUGAAAUCUUCAAAGUAAACCUUUUGUUAACUCAAUUGGUUUCUACUUUGGUAUUGGAGGUCUUUGCAGCUUCACACCUGCUCCUCUUUGUUCAUUAGCUGGAUCUCAGUGUUAUGCUUGGUUCCACUCGGCGUGAUAAGUUAUCUAUCGCUGAGGACACUGUAAAAGGUGGCCAAGGUAAAUGCAGAUGAACCGCUUCUAAUAGUCCAUUGACUUGGACAAUACUUUUAUGAUCUGAUCUCAAAUCAGGUAGGACUACCCGCUGAACUUAAGC